Molecule: long non-coding RNA, 340 nt
Filed under: Olea europaea (common olive)
Lineage: Eukaryota; Viridiplantae; Streptophyta; Magnoliopsida; Lamiales; Oleaceae
Description: long non-coding RNA (OEUR_LNC005528)
Source: RNAcentral
CAAGAAAACUUCAUAUGAUUUGUAAAAGAAAUGAACAAAUACACGUUUCAUUGUACAAGCAAAAUGCCAAAAACCUACCUGUACAUCGAUUGACAGUAGAAACAAAUAAUCCGAAAGUAAAUCAAACCAAAAUAAGCCAUAUUCUCUUAACAAUCAAUCCAAAUAGAAUAUUUAUAGAAAAAUCCAGGUGUUAUUGGAUCCAGAUCUGCUGCUUUUCCUCUAUAAACAAAACAUGGGGUUCCCCCCUCAACAAUCACAAAAAAUUAUCUUUGCUUGCAGCAACAUCAAUGCCCACGCACUUAUGAAAUCCCUUUCCUUUCCUUGUUACAGCGCUCUUGCU